GUGCUUACACAUGCAAGUCGAACGAUGAUCCCAGCUUGCUGGGGGAUUAGUGGCGAACGGGUGAGUAACACGUGAGUAACCUGCCCUUGACUCUGGGAUAAGCCUGGGAAACCGGGUCUAAUACUGGAUAUGACCUUCUGGCGCAUGCCAUGUUGGUGGAAAGCUUUAUUGCGGUUUUGGAUGGACUCGCGGCCUAUCAGCUUGUUGGUGGGGUAAUGGCCUACCAAGGCGACGACGGGUAGCCGGCCUGAGAGGGUGGACGGCCACACUGGGACUGAGACACGGCCCAGACUCCUACGGGAGGCAGCAGUGGGGAAUAUUGCACAAUGGGCGCAAGCCUGAUGCAGCGACGCCGCGUGGGGGAUGAAGGCCUUCGGGUUGUAAACCUCUUUCAGUAGGGAAGAAGCGAAAGUGACGGUACCUGCAGAAGAAGCGCCGGCUAACUACGUGCCAGCAGCCGCGGUAAUACGUAGGGCGCAAGCGUUAUCCGGAAUUAUUGGGCGUAAAGAGCUCGUAGGCGGUUUGUCGCGUCUGCCGUGAAAGUCCGGGGCUUAACCCCGGAUCUGCGGUGGGUACGGGCAGACUAGAGUGAUGUAGGGGAGACUGGAAUUCNUGUGUAGCGGUGAAAUGCGCAGAUAUCAGGAGGAACG
RNAcentral lists this ribosomal RNA (650 nucleotides) under uncultured Arthrobacter sp. Its description in RNAcentral is "bacterial SSU rRNA". It matches the Rfam family "Bacterial small subunit ribosomal RNA", at positions 44 to 708 of the family's 1533-position model. Lineage: Bacteria; Bacillati; Actinomycetota; Actinomycetes; Micrococcales; Micrococcaceae. The record is from RNAcentral.